RNAcentral lists this ribosomal RNA (293 nucleotides) under Culex quinquefasciatus (southern house mosquito). RNAcentral's name for it is "partial 16S ribosomal RNA". The record is from RNAcentral. Lineage: Eukaryota; Metazoa; Arthropoda; Insecta; Diptera; Culicidae.
CUAGUCUUUUAAUUGGAGGCUUGUAUGAAUGGUUGAAUGAGAUAUAUACUGUCUUUUUUAAAAUUAUAUAGAAUUUUAUUUUUUAAUUAAAAAGUUAAAAUAAAAUUAAAGGACGAGAAGACCCUAUAGAUCUUUAUUUUUGUUAUUUAUAAAUUAAAAAGAAUUUUAAAAUUUAUAAUUUAAUAAAAAAUUUUAUUGGGGUGAUAUUAAAAUUUAAAAAACUUUUAAAAUUUAUUAACAUAAAUAUAUGAAUAAAUGAUCCAGUUUUAUUGAUUAAAAAUUUAAGUUACCUU